This 284-nucleotide unclassified non-coding RNA is filed under the name fungal sp. Its description in RNAcentral is "partial internal transcribed spacer region". The stretch from base 1 to 44 matches the Rfam family "Eukaryotic small subunit ribosomal RNA", at positions 1788 to 1831 of the family's 1831-position model. Lineage: Eukaryota; Fungi. The record is from RNAcentral.
GUCGUAACAAGGUUUCCGUAGGUGAACCUGCGGAAGGAUCAUUACCACACCAAAAAAAAAACUUUUCCACGUGAACCUGUAAUGUGCAGUUUUUUGUCUAGUCGCCUCAUUUAUUUUUUUGAGGUGUCUAUGACUGAACGAAGGUGAUGCAAAAUUUAUUUAUUUUUUGCAUAUACCGAUGUUAUUCAACCCCCUAUUGUAUUGUGAUUAGAAUUUAAUAUUGCAGAAAUGAAAGUUUUUGCUCUAAAUUUUGAUACAACUUUCAACAGUGGAUGUCUAGGCUC